AGAGAGUAAGCUGGCUACGCUGGCUACUCAGGAGGAUGGAGUGUGGAACCCACGGUCAGUCUGCUACAGCAGCACCACAUCAUCCAUCAUUGUGGGACAGUGGGACGACAACAUCCUGGUGUUCAGAGUGGAAUAGUGUGUACAUUCGCUGCUGAGUCAGGACAAGGAUGCUGAGGAUGUGGUGGACAAGGAUGACCUGAAUACACAGAAGCUACUGCUCAGCAAAGAAUACAACUGUCUGGUGAAAGGCUCGACCGUAUCAAAGUCCAGUGAUGUCGGGGUACGCGGCCGUUCCAUGUCUGGGGAUUGCAUUUUAGCAGACACUAACAAGGGAGAGAACUGAAGAUCUGCACUUGCAAAGAGCACCAGCCUUGAUAUAGAGUUGGUACGGCAACGACACAAGUCGCACCCGCUGGAGCCCCAGUCCAGCACGACCCCUCCCCUGACCCCUAGCUCCUCCCAUUUGACCUCCGGCAUCAAAGAGUCAGCAUUGUUUAACAAUUCCAUCCCAUAGCAAUUUCUGAGCACAUAGAGUGUUUGCACAUUUUUCUCAACAAGCGCAAUGUCCGUGUUGAGUCUGCACUUGGGCCCUGAUUGGUUUGAUAGACUCAAGUGUCGGAGCUGGUAGAAGUGUUACAGACAUAAGAAGUUAUUGCAGCUGUUAUGGUAACACUAACAGUCAGCUCUCGCUGUUUGACAUUAAAUUGAAUAUUACGAAAAAAUACAAAGCUGGAUAACUCAUUCCAUUCUUUUUGGGACAAACAGACCUGCAGCAAGGAACAGGAGAAAAUCACGGGAAUGUUUGAAGAGUUUAAGUCAGAAGCGUAAGCUUUCCACCGGGGAUACUCCUGGAUGGUCUAAACUUAAGGGACAGUCCAGGUUUGUCCUGUCAGGUGUCCAAACUGUCCAAAGAGAAUGCAUUUAUUUUUGACGCAGUUGCUAACAAAGAAAGGCAGUACCAACUUCGUUGUGAAGAGUCAAGCAUGGUACAUGCAUGGGGCAUGCCUCAGGUGGGAAUUCCAUCUGCAACAAGGUGCUAAAGGUGAACCCAUCAGAGUGUGUUACUAACCACUUCAAGACCAAACAGCCUCACAUUGAUUCGACGAUAAAGAAGGCGUUGAAAAAUGACAGCAGUUUUGAUGUGUCAUCCAGUUUGCUCUUCGACUCUCAACCCAACGUUAGUUAGAACGCAAACUCAGCAUUUAGCGUUAUCAGCGAGGCUCGAAGGUCAUCUCUGCUUCUUAAGCUUCAGAUAAAAUUAUAAGUCAACAAGACGAACAUCGUUGAAUCAUUUCGCACAUAUACUAAAACUCGCUUAAGAAAUUCAGCACUUCACUUAUGAACAUCUUCUCGCAAGGCGGCUACAUCAGCAAAUCCAAUAGCUGAGCCUUGGUGAGUUCCACUCCUGUCCCGAUGAGUCGCUCGAGGUGAAACAAUCUGAUCCACAGAUAGAGCAGACGAUGAGUGACCCGUCUGUUAACGUGACUGACCUCCAUAUGUUGCUCUCUAAUAUUGUGCCUGAGGAGCAGUGUUGGCCUACAUUCCCUGUUCAGGGCGGUGACUUUAACGUCAAGACUCACACAAUCUCUGUCUAUGGCCCUAUCGCAGCAGCAGCAGCAAAAAAAACAGGAAGUAUUUCAGCUGCACUCUGGGAAAACAGGGCUUAAUGCAUGUGUUUAAAGUGUUGUCCCAGAUAAAGGUGUUAAGUCUGCCCGCUCUUAUCAGUGACCACACUUUCCGAAUAAGCCUUUAAAUGAAAAAUUCCAUAAAAGCGGAAAGUGUCGUGGCUGAUGAUUUUCAAGACUCACACAACCUCUGUCUAUGGCCCUGUCGCAGCAGCAGCAGCAACAAAAACAGGAAGUAUUUCAGCUGCACUCUGGGAAAACAGGGCUUAAUGCAUGUGCCUAAAGUGUUUUACCCACGAAAGCGUGUUAAGUCUGCCCAAGCUAAUUUGUGACCACACUUUCCGAAUGUACCUUAAAACAAAGAAUUCCAUAAAAGCUGAAAGUGUCGUGGCUGAUUAGCUUGUGCAGACUGUACAUGCAAAUCUGGAACAACUCUACACUUAUGCAUUUAGCCCAGUUUUUUAAGACUUUAGAGUUGCACAUUUAGUUCACAUUACAUCAGCUUUUUUCUGACCUUUUUGGAGAAAAGUUCUUAUUACCAAUCAGGAAUUUUGCGGUUUUUGACUGUUCAAACUGAGUUAAUAAAAUGCAUAUUAGAGUUGAUUUGAUAUCAGUUUUAACCAUAGGGGGUAAGGGCAUAUUUUCAUACUUUUUUGUUUGUUUUCACUUGUAUAUUAACCCCUUGCAUAAAUUAUACAAAAUACUGAUGUUUUAUUUAAAUUAAACAAUUAUUGAAAUGCAGUCAACAUUUAAAAAAAAUUAAUCUGCAUUUCAUUUAUUAUUUGGUAACAAAAUUUAAUAUAUUUUUACAUAAAUUGAAAUUAAUCACCUGUCCAGGUUUUCAGUUUACAAAUAUGCCCCUGGAGUGAGAAUAUGAAGUGAAGAUAUUUAUUAAUUAUUGCCCCCGGGUAAUUGGGGUAUAUAGGAAUCACCUUGGACAGACGUUUGUUUGUCUUUUCAUAUGUGUGUGGGCGUUCACUUACAAUUCAACGUUAAGCAUUCAAACUUUCAGGUAUUGUUUAAUCUCAUACGUGAUUGUGCAUGUACAUUUUGUAUCAUAAUACUCUAAAAAUUACAAAACUUAGAAAUUCUAUAACCUCUGCUACAUAGACUUGUGGCAUUGGGGGAUAUUCUAUGUAACAAUGGUUACAAAUUAUUGUUUGACUAGACAGCAAUUACACUUUUUUAGCUGAUUAAGCAUUUUCCAGUAAUAUUAAUAAAGGUUAGAAGAUGUUGUUUUCUUCUAAGUAUUUUGAAAAAAGAAGCCAUAUUUUGCUUUCGAAUUGAGUCAGCCACAUAACUUGUUAAUUUAAUAAUUUAAUGGUCAUGAAAUAAUUUCUAAGGCCAUUCUCUCUCUGAUUCUAGUACGGCAAUUGUCUGUUACUGGCAUAAGUAUAUGUACUCAGUAAGGCCAGGAAAAGGUUAAAUUAAUGACCACACUACUGCGACUAAAAUGCAUUUUUAUGUGUGUAGAGGUCAAUUAAAAAAUGAUAAAAUUUCUGUACUUUUUAGCUGUUUCCUACAGGACCCCGUACAAUCACAGAUUGGUGCCCAGCUGAACAACAGGCUCUCUCUCUUAAGCCAGGCCUGAACGCAUGGGGUCACUUCCUGUGUAUAGGUGGCCGAAUGCAAACCAGUACCAAUCUGGGCUCCAGCAGCAGCCUCAGCCAUGGGGGCAGGUUCAUGAUGAAACCAUGGUCUCAAUUAUCUCUGAACAUCUCAACAUCACAGCAACAGUAGAGCAACAUGACCUGCAAGGUUGGGAUGCUGUUCAUGGUCAGUUUCCAGCUGUAUCCCAGCAACCAUGCCACGCGAGCACAACAGCAAAAACAGCAGCAGCAGUCUAUCUGCCUCUCCUUACCAGGUUGAGAAUCGCUUCAAACCAUUCAGUGCCUUGUGAUGAAAUCCUCCAGCGCAACAUUGACCUUGCCACAGUGCUCACAUGGGGAUCAUGUUGAAAAUCACAUGGGCUUGGGUGGUCAUGGCAGUAAGAUAUUAAAGAUGACUUCACAACAUGAAACCCUUGACUGGAUGAAAUGUUUGUCCUCAAUUCAGCCGUGGAAGCCAGAAUCAAUAAGAGAAGUUCCAGCUGCUUACCCUAUCUGAAAACCUGGGUAGCGGAGCAAAGAGUAUGUCCCGGAAACAUUUGCAGUCACAGCACAUGAACCAGCGGCAUUCAUUGUCUCCAUAUUGCGAAUCCCCAUGGUGCAGAAACCUCCGUCUAUGAACAUCAUGCAGAGCGAACCUCAGUCGUCAAUUGAUGAAAUCAAACCAUCUAGUCAGAAAGCCAGUCUGUUGCAUCAGUUGUUAUCAUACUGACUCCAGUCAUACCUAGGAAGCUAAGAGAUAUAUUCUGUUUAAAAUAUGCUAGUCGCUGUGUACCCGGCCGUCUGUUAAGCAUUUACUCUGACAGGUCUCAUAUUUGAGUUUGGGGCAUUGUUCAGAUAGAAAUUGCACAAUGACAAAUCACAAUAAUUCAAAUGGAAAUUUAUGAAGUAAUGUGACGAGCAUCAUUGUGUUAUGUGACCAGCCAAGGUGUGUUAAAAAAAUACACUAUUUCAUAUCUCAUGGGGACUAUGGUGCUGCCAGUCAUUUUAUGUUGAAGGUUUUUGUUAACUUAAAUAUAGUUUGUAAAGUAUCAUUUUAAGCACACAUAUUGGCAGUAUAUCCAAUUUCUUUGGAUAUACUGGCAAUAGUUUCUUUUAUAGAUGUGCUAGUUAGAAAAUUGUUCAGAAAGGUUGAGAAUUUGUACGCUUCAGCUUUCUCCCUAAAAUGGUCAUUCUGUAUUUACUACCAGUACUACCAGUACUUUGUUGAUUUGAAUGGAUCUUGCGUUAUUUAGAAUGCUUUAAAUGAAACUGAGAAUUAAAAUAAUAUUUUAAAGAAUAAUAUGAGUUUUAUCAAUAAUGGCAAUAGUUAUGAUUGUUAAUUUGUGUUGUUAGAUCAUAUACUUACAUGCUCAUAAGUGUUGACAUUUGUUUUCGGACAUAAAAGCUUAUACUAUGUGUAUAUAGGCAUUUAGACGACAAGACUGUAUCAUAUUAAAUCAGUGUGUAACUUAACCAAGAUUUCUUGAUCACUGUAUAUAGGUAUAUUUUGCCAUUUAUACAUAGAUCAACUGCAAAACAAUUGUAUUUUUGAUGUAAAUCUUUCAUUUAUUGUUGCCAUUUUUAUAAGAUAAACUCCCUGUUUACUUUUAUUUGUACAAACCAUUGUUAUAGAAAAACAUUGCUUGUGUAAAUGCUUAUAUGUAUUAAACUGUUGAAGCAUACAGCAUGACAUAUCCUGAAGAGAAAAAGAAAUUUAAGCUAAUAUAAACACCUUGUUAUAUAAAAUGCUUUUCAUUAAAUAAAUUUAAUCUACUACUUAAAAUUUGUUUAAUUUUGUUUUACAUUAUCUUAAGAAAAAUUAAUACCUUGAAAUUUGAAAUAAAUCAAUGACAACUAAGGGAGAGUGAUGUCAUAUGCUAACAAUUGUAAUGAAUUGCACUUGUCCCUAUUGGAAAUAUUAGAGAGCAAUAUUAUUUGCUUAAGAAAGAAAACAAAGAUCUUUUUUGUAACAUUAUAAUUUUGUUUACAGCUCGAUGUAACACGUAAAUGCGUACAUAAUUUCAAAUUAUUUCACACUAUAUACUCAGCCAUAAGUGAAGUGGAAUAAACACUUUAAAAAAAUAUAUGCUUGUUUCAUGAAGUAAUAGUUAAGGUGCAAUAGGAUACUCAUCGUUGCACAAACACUAUUGCCGUGGUAGGGUUCACUUUGUGUAAUAACAAAAUGCAUCAUAAAUGACAUUUAUUAAAAUUCGUUAUAUUUGGAUGACCACACUGUGUGUAAAGUUUUGUAAUUGUGAUGAUGAUUAGUUCUGCACACAAUGCUUCUUUAAGAAAUCUGUACAUGUCAACAAUAAUACUAUACUUGUUCUUUAUUAUACUUGACAUAUUGCUGACAAUGAAUUGUGGCAUUUUACUAGUUUUGUUACAGUUUGUGUAGCGUUGACCGUUGCACACCUGCUGUCAGUGGAGUGCAUUUACUCUGACAGUUUCCAUAAAUUUCCUAAUUUCACACUUCAGCAAAUGUCUUAAGACCAAAUUUCCCUAAAAUGUGGUUGUUUAUAUUGAACUUUCAUUGAGUGAAUGAAUUUUUUUUGUUUUGUUAUUGUACUACCGUACUAACAUAGAGUUAUGUAUGUAAAUUGUGUGUUUCAAAUAUGUUUGAUUGCCUACUAUUAAUAACAUGUUGCAUCAGUAGAUAUUAUGAACAAGUAAAUAUAGUGUGUAUAAACUCUAAGGAGACUGCGCCAAGGUCUUUAUCAAUUGAUUGUAUACCUCAUAUUGAUCAUGGACUUCGUAGUUUAUUGCAUAUGUUUCAUACCUUUUGUAAAUAUCCUCAUAAUCUUCAGAUAACUGUUAAGCGUAUUUUAUAUACAUGUAUAUCUAAACUGUUACCUGAUGUAUGUUGCAUAGUGACCGUGUGUUGUUACGGCAAAUAAAACUACAAUAGUU
This is a long non-coding RNA of Dreissena polymorpha, 6124 nucleotides long. RefSeq lists it as uncharacterized. The record is from RefSeq and is a predicted model, not a curated record. The transcript is spliced from 11 exons. NCBI's taxonomy places the organism in Eukaryota, Metazoa, Mollusca, Bivalvia, Myida, Dreissenidae.